AUUUCACCUCCCCCGAUGCAAACGAUGGGACGCGCGAGACAGAAGAAGACGAGGCGUGUGUGUGACAGCGUUUCGUAUGCAGCAGCCAAAUCGAAGCAGGCGCAUCUUCCUUCGCACGCGCCCGCCCGAAGAGGAGGAGGAGGCACACGUAUUGGACGCACCGACGGUGCUCGUGUUUGCUGUUCAGCUCGGUGUGUGUGUGUGUGUGGUUGUUGUCAAGUGGACAACAACGCACCGGUCGCAGCCGCUCAUUGGCGAUUGCAUUUUUUGGCUGCUGCGUUUUCGGGCUCACAUCUCCCGCGCGCGUGAUUUAUGAAGCAAAGCGAAGAAGAUUCAGCACAGGAAGCCUUACACCCUGUCUGUCGGACGUGCGCACGCAUCAAACAGCUCUAUAGCCUUGGCAAGGCUAAGCGAUUGAUAAACCCUAACAAGCCGAACAAAAGGAACGAAAGGAGGAGACAGAAGAAGUAGAAGAAGUAGAAAAAAACAUCACAUAUUUGAUGAUCAUCUGGGCUGAGAGUGGUUGGUGAUUCGUGGAUCGUUUCGUGCAACACUCACGAUAGACGAUGGGUUCGUGGUAAUAAUCGGUCGAUCAUCGUGUCCCCGUGCGGGAGCUCCCUGUGUGGGGCACAAGCGAGGCAAAAGGAAGUGAUCGCGCGCGUGUGUGUGUGUAUGUGUGUUACAACAAUACGGCUCGUUUGUCUUUACUACCUACGAGACUACUACCUCGUUAGGGGCCGGUGGGGUUUGUGUAAUUUACCGCUUCGAAGCCGCGAAAGAGGUGUUGAUUGUGAGCGAGCCAUAAUGUUAACACUCCUCCCUGUAUUAGUAGUGCCCUUGAUCUUUGCAGUGGCAGUCAAAAGUGCGAGAAAUGGCAGUAAAUUAUGCCUGUGAUGAGGAUGCGCCAGGGACACUGAGAUUUUCGAGGAAAUAGAUGCAAUACACGUGCAAAAGAAACAUUGUUUUGAUGACGAAAAAGGCACAAAGAACUUCAACGGUGGUUAAAGUGACGAACCAGAUUGAACCUUCCCGCACUUUUUUGCGGCGCAAAGCAACUGAUUGCACACUAAGUUGAGUUCAAAACAAAAAAACCGGUCGUUGGAUUAUUGCAAUCUUAAUAUGCAUUAAAAGGCAGUAAAAAUCAUUCACACAUUUUGCGAAAGCACUAGAAAGGGAUUACAAAAGAGAGACAGAAAAAAAACUUGCGAGUCAAAUGGGGGGAGGGGGAAAACAUCAAGAAAGGAUUUAUGCAAAAUUAUCAUAUUCAUAAACCUAUCAUCACACGAGC
Anopheles arabiensis is the source of this 1288-nucleotide long non-coding RNA. RefSeq lists it as uncharacterized. The record is from RefSeq and is a predicted model, not a curated record. NCBI's taxonomy places the organism in Eukaryota, Metazoa, Arthropoda, Insecta, Diptera, Culicidae. The transcript has 3 exons.